UGGGGAAUAUUGGACAAUGGGCGAAAGCCUGAUCCAGCCAUGCCGCGUGUGUGAAGAAGGUCUUCGGAUUGUAAAGCACUUUAAGUUUGGAGGAAGGGCAGUAAGCGAAUACCUUGCUGUUUUGACGUUACCGACAGAAUAAGCACCGGCUAACUCUGUGCCAGCAGCCGCGGUAAUACAGAGGGUGCAAGCGUUAAUCGGAAUUACUGGGCGUAAAGCGCGCGUAGGUGGUUCGUUAAGUUGAAUGUGAAAGCCCCGGGCUCAACCUGGGAACUGCAUCCAAAACUGGCGAGCUAGAGUAGGGCAGAGGGUGGUGGAAUUUCCUGUGUAGCGGUGAAAUGCGUAGAUAUAGGAAGGAACACCAGUGGCGAAGGCGACCACCUGGGCUCAUACUGACACUGAGGUACGAAAGCAUGGGGAGCAAACAGG
RNAcentral lists this ribosomal RNA (429 nucleotides) under Pseudomonadota bacterium. RNAcentral describes it as "Proteobacteria bacterium partial 16S ribosomal RNA". It matches the Rfam family "Bacterial small subunit ribosomal RNA", at positions 355 to 776 of the family's 1533-position model. The record is from RNAcentral. Lineage: Bacteria; Pseudomonadati; Pseudomonadota.